Camelus dromedarius (Arabian camel) is the source of this 647-nucleotide long non-coding RNA. RefSeq lists it as uncharacterized. Lineage: Eukaryota; Metazoa; Chordata; Mammalia; Artiodactyla; Camelidae. The transcript has 3 exons. The record is from RefSeq and is a predicted model, not a curated record.
GAGCCAGAGCUCCCUGCUUCCCCACCCUACCAUUUCUGCUUCACUGAAACAAUCGUCUCUCUCGAGCUCCCCCGGUACAAGACACUAAUCAAAACUGCCCUUGGAUGAUCCAGCUGACUUUGCCUAAAUUCAGUUCUCUUCCGCGCUGGCCAUCCGCUCCAGCAUCCCAGUGUCCAGCCAGGAUCCUGUGAGAAAGAAAGUUCUCUGAUUCAUCUACACCCAGAUGAUUCUCCGGCGAACACAAACACAGAGAAGAAAAAUGGGGCAGGGGGGCGGAAACAGUGUAUGGUAUGAGAGUGGCCACAAGACUGAAAAAUGACAGAUGUGAACAGCCCAGACCAGCUCACUGCGUCAGGGACAGCAUUUUAAGAGAAAUAGUGCUGCAGAAAGAGAAGAUAAAUUCUAGAAGGACACUGCACCAGAUACAGGAAGGAAAGGCAGGUCAAGGACUUGGAUAUCAAGGAUGGAGAAUGAGGAACUUGAUCAGACAUGAAGGUUGGGGGGAUCCUCCCCAAACUCUCUUAGCAGGAUUCUUUGCUGAAACUGGACUCGGCAGGCCAAGGACAAGGCAGAAGGCCAAGGUCAAGGUCUAGUCAAGAAGAGGACUAAGAGGAGCCUGACAAAAAUUGGGUCAAAGAGGGAGUCUU